RNAcentral lists this ribosomal RNA (424 nucleotides) under uncultured bacterium. Its description in RNAcentral is "partial 16S ribosomal RNA". It matches the Rfam family "Bacterial small subunit ribosomal RNA", at positions 360 to 776 of the family's 1533-position model. The record is from RNAcentral.
AAUUUUUGACAAUUGGCGCAAGCCUGAUCCAGCCAUCCCGCGUGAGUGAAGAAGGCCUUCCGGUUGUAAAGCUCUUUCUGUCGGAAAGAAAUCACGCAGGCUAAUACCCUGCGUGGACGACGGCACCGUCCUAACAAGCACCCGCUAACUACCUUCCAGCACCCGCGGUAAUACGUAGGGUGCGAGAGUUCAUCGGCAUUACUGGGGGUAAAACGGGCGCAGGGGGUUGAUUAAAACAGGCGUGAAAACCCCGGGGUUAAACUGGGAAAUGGGCUUGUGAAUGGUCAGCUAGAGUACGGCAGAGGGGGGUGGAAAUCCACGUGGAGCAGGGAAAUGCGUAGAGAUGUGGAGAAAAACCGAUGGGGAAGGCAGCCCCCUGGGCCGAUACUGACGCUCAUGCACGAAAGCGUGGGUAGCAAACAGG